This 378-nucleotide unclassified non-coding RNA is filed under the name uncultured bacterium. RNAcentral describes it as "contains 16S-23S intergenic spacer region". The record is from RNAcentral.
UCCGAGUUGACCCCGGCAGUCUCCUACGAGUCCCCGCCAUUACGCGCUGGCAACAUAGGACAAGGGUUGCGCUCGUUGCGGGACUAACCCAACAUCUCACGACACGAGCUGACGACAGCCAUGCAGCACCUGUCUCCAGGUUCCUUGCGGCACCCCCAAAUCUCUUCGGGGUUCCUGGGAUGUCAAGGACAGGUAAGGUUCUUCGCGUUGCAUCGAAUUAAACCACAUGCUCCACCGCUUGUGCGGGCCCCCGUCAAUUCCUUUGAGUUUCAGCCUUGCGGCCGUACUCCCCAGGCGGGGCACUUAUCGCGUUAGCUGCGACACGGAAGGGGUCGAUCCCACCCGCGUCUAGUGCCCAUCGUUUACGGCGUGGACUAC